AGACCCGAAACCCGGUGAUCUAGCCAUGGGCAGGUUGAAGGUUGGGUAACACUAACUGGAGGACCGAACCGACUAAUGUUGAAAAAUUAGCGGAUGACCUGUGGCUGGGGGUGAAAGGCCAAUCAAACCGGGAGAUAGCUGGUUCUCCCCGAAAGCUAUUUAGGUAGCGCCUCGUGAAUUCAUCUCCGGGGGUAGAGCACUGUUUCGGCUAGGGGGCCAUCCCGGCUUACCAACCCGAUGCAAACUGCGAAUACCGGAGAAUGUUAUCACGGGAGACACACGGCGGGUGCUAACGUCCGUCGUGAAGAGGGAAACAACCCAGACCGCCAGCUAAGGUCCCAAAGUCAUGGUUAAGUGGGAAACGAUGUGGGAAGGCCCAGACAGCCAGGAUGUUGGCUUAGAAGCAGCCAUCAUUUAAAGAAAGCGUAAUAGCUCACUGGUCGAGUCGGCCUGCGCGGAAGAUGUAACGGGGCUAAACCAUGCACCGAAGCUGCGGCAGCGAACGUAUCACUUAAAGCGAUUCAGCGGGUUACGAUUGACGGAGCGAAGCGACGUCAAAGCGUAUACAAAGUCGAGUCGGUUUAAGGAUACGUUCGUUGGGUAGGGGAGCGUUCUGUAAGCCUGUGAAGGUGGCCUGUGAGGGUUGCUGGAGGUAUCAGAAGUGCGAAUGCUGACAUAAGUAACGAUAAAGCGGGUGAAAAGCCCGCUCGCCGGAAGACCAAGGGUUCCUGUCCAACGUUAAUCGGGGCAGGGUGAGUCGACCCCUAAGGCGAGGCCGAAAGGCGUAGUCGAUGGGAAACGGGUUAAUAUUCCCGUACUUGGUGUUACUGCGAAGGGGGGACGGAGAAGGCUAUGUUGGCCGGGCGACGGUUGUCCCGGUUUAAGCGUGUAGGUGUGUGUUCCAGGUAAAUCCGGUUCACUUUAACACUGAGGCGUGAUGACGAGGCACUACGGUGCUGAAGCAACAAAUGCCCUGCUUCCAGGAAAAGCCUCUAAGCAUCAGGUAACAUCAAAUCGUACCCCAAACCGACACAGGUGGUCAGGUAGAGAAUACCAAGGCGCUUGAGAGAACUCGGGUGAAGGAACUAGGCAAAAUGGUGCCGUAACUUCGGGAGAAGGCACGCUGACACGUAGGUGAAGUGAUUUACUCAUGGAGCUGAAGUCAGUCGAAGAUACCAGCUGGCUGCAACUGUUUAUUAAAAACACAGCACUGUGCAAACACGAAAGUGGACGUAUACGGUGUGACGCCUGCCCGGUGCCGGAAGGUUAAUUGAUGGGGUCAGCGCAAGCGAAGCUCCUGAUCGAAGCCCCGGUAAACGGCGGCCGUAACUAUAACGGUCCUAAGGUAGCGAAAUUCCUUGUCGGGUAAGUUCCGACCUGCACGAAUGGCGUAAUGAUGGCCAGGCUGUCUCCACCCGAGACUCAGUGAAAUUGAACUCGCUGUGAAGAUGCAGUGUACCCGCGGCAAGACGGAAAGACCCCGUGAACCUUUACUAUAGCUUGACACUGAACAUUGAGCCUUGAUGUGUAGGAUAGGUGGGAGGCUUUGAAGUGUGGACGCCAGUCUGCAUGGAGCCGACCUUGAAAUACCACCCUUUAAUGUUUGAUGUUCUAACGUGGACCCGUAAUCCGGGUUGCGGACAGUGUCUGGUGGGUAGUUUGACUGGGGCGGUCUCCUCCUAAAGAGUAACGGAGGAGCACGAAGGUUGGCUAAUCCUGGUCGGACAUCAGGAGGUUAGUGCAAUGGCAUAAGCCAGCUUGACUGCGAGCGUGACGGCGCGAGCAGGUGCGAAAGCAGGUCAUAGUGAUCCGGUGGUUCUGAAUGGAAGGGCCAUCGCUCAACGGAUAAAAGGUACUCCGGGGAUAACAGGCUGAUACCGCCCAAGAGUUCAUAUCGACGGCGGUGUUUGGCACCUCGAUGUCGGCUCAUCACAUCCUGGGGCUGAAGUAGGUCCCAAGGGUAUGGCUGUUCGCCAUUUAAAGUGGUACGCGAGCUGGGUUUAGAACGUCGUGAGACAGUUCGGUCCCUAUCUGCCGUGGGCGCUGGAGAACUGAGGGGGGCUGCUCCUAGUACGAGAGGACCGGAGUGGACGCAUCACUGGUGUUCGGGUUGUCAUGCCAAUGGCACUGCCCGGUAGCUAAAUGCGGAAGAGAUAAGUGCUGAAAGCAUCUAAGCACGAAACUUGCCCCGA
RNAcentral lists this ribosomal RNA (2192 nucleotides) under Salmonella enterica subsp. enterica serovar Derby. Its description in RNAcentral is "partial 23S ribosomal RNA". It matches the Rfam family "Bacterial large subunit ribosomal RNA", at positions 711 to 2802 of the family's 2925-position model. The record is from RNAcentral. Lineage: Bacteria; Pseudomonadati; Pseudomonadota; Gammaproteobacteria; Enterobacterales; Enterobacteriaceae. RNAcentral also lists the same sequence under 5 other names.